UAUCUUCUGUGGCGUUCGUGUAUAGACUGGCAAAACUUGAGCCUAAUUGCAUUUGCCAGGGAGCUGAACCGCGAUGUUGUGUUCAUACCCGGUCCGCCGGGGAGUCUGAUACAUCGCCUGCUGUUCCCACUUGAACAAAUCGGUUCAAGUUAAAACGUCUUUACGACGCCACGGUUGAUAC
This 181-nucleotide non-coding RNA is filed under the name Gammaproteobacteria bacterium. Its description in RNAcentral is "6S RNA". It matches the Rfam family "6S / SsrS RNA". From Rfam's summary of the family: E. coli 6S RNA was the first non coding RNA to be sequenced, but its function was unknown until recently. It consists of 184 nucleotides that fold into an extended hairpin structure with a large single-stranded internal bulge. The 6S RNA specifically associates with RNA polymerase holoenzyme containing the sigma70 specificity factor. Lineage: Bacteria; Pseudomonadati; Pseudomonadota; Gammaproteobacteria. The record is from RNAcentral.